Molecule: ribosomal RNA, 468 nt
Filed under: uncultured bacterium
Lineage: Bacteria
Description: partial 16S ribosomal RNA
Rfam family: Bacterial small subunit ribosomal RNA
Source: RNAcentral
GGACGAACGCUGGCGGCGUGCUUAACACAUGCAAGUCGAACGGAAAGGCCCCUUUCGGGGGGUACUCGAGUGGCGAACGGGUGAGUAACACGUGAGUAACCUGCCCUUGACUUUGGGAUAACUUCAGGAAACUGGGGCUAAUACCGGAUAGGAGCUCCUGCUGCAUGGUGGGGGUUGGAAAGUUUCGGCGGUUGGGGAUGGACUCGCGGCUUAUCAGCUUGUUGGUGGGGUAGUGGCUUACCAAGGCUUUGACGGGUAGCCGGCCUGAGAGGGUGACCGGCCACAUUGGGACUGAGAUACGGCCCAGACUCCUACGGGAGGCAGCAGUGGGGAAUAUUGCACAAUGGGUGGAAGCCUGAUGCAGCAACGCCGUGUGCGGGAUGACGGCCUUCGGGUUGUAAACCGCUUUCGCUCAUGACGAAGCUUUGUGUGACGGUAGUGGGUAAAGAAGCACCGGCUAACUACGUG